Molecule: ribosomal RNA, 450 nt
Filed under: uncultured Glomeromycotina
Lineage: Eukaryota; Fungi; Glomeromycota
Description: SSU rRNA
Rfam family: Eukaryotic small subunit ribosomal RNA
Source: RNAcentral
AGCAGCCGCGGUAAUUCCAGCUCCAAUAGCGUAUAUUAAAGUUGUUGCAGUUAAAAAGCUCGUAGUUGAGUUUCGGGGUCAGUAGGUUGGUCAUGCCACUGGUAUGUACUGGUCUCACUGAUUCCUCCUUCCUGAUGAACUGUAAUGCCAUUAAUUUGGUGUUGCAGGGAAUCUGGACUGUUACUUUGAAAAAAUUAGAGUGUUUAAAGCAGGCUAACGCCUGAAUACAUUAGCAUGGAAUAAUGAAAUAGGACGUUCGAUCCUAUUUUGUUGGUUUCUAGGAUUGACGUAAUGAUUAAUAGGGAUAGUUGGGGGCAUUAGUAUUCAAUUGUCAGAGGUGAAAUUCUUGGAUUUAUUGAAGACUAACUACUGCGAAAGCAUUUGCCAAGGAUGUUUUCAUUAAUCAAGAACGAAAGUUAGGGGAUCGAAGACGAUCAGAUACCGUCGUAG